UACGAAGGGAACUAGCGUUGUUCGGAUUUACUGGGCGUAAAGAGCAUGUAGGCGGAUUGGACAGUUGAGGGUGAAAUCCCAGAGCUCAACUCUGGAACGGCCUUCAAUACUUCCAGUCUAGAGUCCGUAAGGGGGUGGUGGAAUUCCGAGUGUAGAGGUGAAAUUCGUAGAUAUUCGGAGGAACACCAGUGGCGAAGGCGACCACCUGGUACGGUACUGACGCUGAGAUGCGAAAGCGUGGGGAGCAAAC
Molecule: ribosomal RNA, 250 nt
Filed under: uncultured bacterium
Lineage: Bacteria
Description: partial 16S ribosomal RNA
Rfam family: Bacterial small subunit ribosomal RNA
Source: RNAcentral